GAGAGAUAGAUGGUAAAGAAAAAACAUAUGCAGUGGUUAGAGAGCCAAGUUUCGAUUAAGAGACAUGGAAGACAUUGUAAAUGGAGGCUUCCACGGGGAAAUUCAACUUGUAAGCAACCUUACCAAUCUUGUCCAACGCCUGAUGAGGUCCAUAAUACUUAGGUUAGAGUUUUUGAUGUAGAGUUUGAAGGAAAGUCUACUGAUAUUGUUGCAAUUUUAGAUAUACCCAGUCCCCCACCUCGAACUGCCUGUCUGUUCUGUAUUUAUCAACUUGCUCUUUCAUGCAAUGAGAAGCCCGCUGC
Molecule: long non-coding RNA, 302 nt
Filed under: Elaeis guineensis (African oil palm)
Lineage: Eukaryota; Viridiplantae; Streptophyta; Magnoliopsida; Arecales; Arecaceae
Description: long non-coding RNA (EGUI_LNC023189)
Source: RNAcentral